Molecule: transfer RNA, 76 nt
Filed under: Lewinella sp. W8
Lineage: Bacteria; Pseudomonadati; Bacteroidota; Saprospiria; Saprospirales; Lewinellaceae
Description: tRNA-Trp
Source: RNAcentral
ACCUCCCCAGCAAGUGGGGUUGCCGACGGAUUCCAAACCCGUUGCGUUGUGGGUUCGAUUCCUACGGGAGGUGCCA